Molecule: non-coding RNA, 559 nt
Organism: Micropterus dolomieu (smallmouth bass)
Lineage: Eukaryota; Metazoa; Chordata; Actinopteri; Centrarchiformes; Centrarchidae
Source: the annotation of a RefSeq genome assembly
UUCUCUUUCUCUUUAAGAUGCUGUCAGUGAACUUCAGUCUGUUUGUGACUUUGUUUCUGCUCACAAUAAGAGGUGUCAGCUGUGAAGAACUCACUCCAGUCAGGAAUGAAGAGUUCACUUUAGAAGACAGCUCUGUUACCCUGUCCUGCAAAUACUCCAAACAAGCAACUGCUAGUGAUUAUUUCUUCUGGUAUCGGCAACAUCCAGAAAAACCACCAGAGUUCCUCAUCUCACACUCUGGUUCAGGAGCAGUAGGAAAUGAUCCAAUCCCUGGACUGUCUGUUAAAGUGAGUGAUGAUAAAACCCAAAUGGAUCUGCAGAUCUCCUCUGCUGCAGUGACAGACUCUGCUGUGUACUACUGUGCUGUGAGGCCCACAGUGACAGGAAACACCAAAACUCUGUACAAAAACCUUUGGAGCAAAGACAACAGAAUACUCCACAACGUCCACUAGAGGGAGUCACACUCUGUUAAACUUUAGUGGCAUGUUUUCAUAUGGUCUGGAUUCUUUGCACUGAUAACAACUUGAAGAAAAAUGAGGAUUAAACAAUAAAAAAAUGA